GGUCCAGUAGCAUAGUGGUUAAUGUAUGAGAACUCACUCACAUUGAAGUGGUAAAGUUAUUAUUCUGAGCACCCUUGUUCAACUCAAGGCUGGACCA
Non-coding RNA from Mycena rebaudengoi, 97 nucleotides. Lineage: Eukaryota; Fungi; Basidiomycota; Agaricomycetes; Agaricales; Mycenaceae. The record is from the annotation of a GenBank genome assembly.